UGGGGAAUAUUGCACAAUGGGCGAAAGCCUGAUGCAGCAACGCCGCGUGAGCGAUGAAGGCCUUCGGGUCGUAAAGCUCUGUCCUCAAGGAAGAUAAUGACGGUACUUGAGGAGGAAGCCCCGGCUAACUACGUGCCAGCAGCCGCGGUAAUACGUAGGGGGCUAGCGUUAUCCGGAUUUACUGGGCGUAAAGGGUGCGUAGGUGGUUUCUUAAGUCAGGAGUGAAAGGCUACGGCUUAACCGUAGUAAGCUCUUGAAACUGGGAAACUUGAGUGCAGGAGAGGAAAGUGGAAUUCCUAGUGUAGCGGUGAAAUGCGUAGAUAUUAGGAGGAACACCAGUAGCGAAGGCGGCUUUCUGGACUGUAACUGACACUGAGGCACGAAAGCGUGGGGAGCAAACAGGA
This 404-nucleotide ribosomal RNA is filed under the name uncultured bacterium. RNAcentral's name for it is "bacterial SSU rRNA". It matches the Rfam family "Bacterial small subunit ribosomal RNA", at positions 355 to 777 of the family's 1533-position model. The record is from RNAcentral.